This 634-nucleotide ribosomal RNA is filed under the name Curtobacterium sp. Ri3Ps_6520. Its description in RNAcentral is "bacterial SSU rRNA". It matches the Rfam family "Bacterial small subunit ribosomal RNA", at positions 382 to 1027 of the family's 1533-position model. The record is from RNAcentral. Lineage: Bacteria; Bacillati; Actinomycetota; Actinomycetes; Micrococcales; Microbacteriaceae.
CCUGAUGCAGCAACGCCGCGUGAGGGAUGACGGCCUUCGGGUUGUAAACCUCUUUUAGUAGGGAAGAAGCGAAAGUGACGGUACCUGCAGAAAAAGCACCGGCUAACUACGUGCCAGCAGCCGCGGUAAUACGUAGGGUGCAAGCGUUGUCCGGAAUUAUUGGGCGUAAAGAGCUCGUAGGCGGUUUGUCGCGUCUGCUGUGAAAUCCCGAGGCUCAACCUCGGGCUUGCAGUGGGUACGGGCAGACUAGAGUGCGGUAGGGGAGAUUGGAAUUCCUGGUGUAGCGGUGGAAUGCGCAGAUAUCAGGAGGAACACCGAUGGCGAAGGCAGAUCUCUGGGCCGUAACUGACGCUGAGGAGCGAAAGCGUGGGGAGCGAACAGGAUUAGAUACCCUGGUAGUCCACGCCGUAAACGUUGGGCGCUAGAUGUAGGGACCUUUCCACGGUUUCUGUGUCGUAGCUAACGCAUUAAGCGCCCCGCCUGGGGAGUACGGCCGCAAGGCUAAAACUCAAAGGAAUUGACGGGGGCCCGCACAAGCGGCGGAGCAUGCGGAUUAAUUCGAUGCAACGCGAAGAACCUUACCAAGGCUUGACAUACACCGGAAACGGCCAGAGAUGGUCGCCCCCUUGUGGUC